Molecule: ribosomal RNA, 406 nt
Filed under: uncultured bacterium
Lineage: Bacteria
Description: partial 16S ribosomal RNA
Rfam family: Bacterial small subunit ribosomal RNA
Source: RNAcentral
AUUGAACGCUGGCGGCAGGCUUAACACAUGCAAGUCGAGCGAGCGGCGGACGGGUGAGUAAUGUCUGGGAAACUGCCUGAUGGAGGGGGAUAACUACUGGAAACGGUAGCUAAUACCGCAUAACAUAGGAUGUGCCCAAAUGGGAUUAGCUAGUAGGUGAGGUAAGGGCUCACCAAGCCGACGAUCCCUAGCUGGUCUGAGAGGAUGACCAGCCACACUGGAACUGAGACCCGGUCCAGACUCCUACGGGAGGCAGCAGUGGGGAAUAUGGCACAAUGGGCGCAAGCCUGAUGCAGCCAUGCCGCGUGUGUGAAGAAGGCCUUAGGGUUGUAAAGCACUUUCAGCGAGGAGGCGUUACUCGCAGAAGAAGCACCGGCUAACUCCGUGCCAGCAGCCGCGGUAAUAC